UACUCUGUAGAAUCCCCCAGAGCACAGCUCUUCACCAUGGACUGGACAUGGGGAAUCCUCUUCUUGGUUGCAGCUGUGAAUGGUGUCCAUGCCCAGCUGCAGUUGGUGCAGUCUGGGGCAGAGGUGAGGAAACCUGGAACCUCAGUGAAGGUCUCCUGCAAGGCUUCAGGCUACAGUUUCACUAGUUACUGGAUGGAAUGGGUGCGACAGAGCCCUUCACGGGAACUCGAGUGGAUUGGAGAGAUCGACCCUAGUGAUGGUGAAACUAAUUAUGCUCAGAAGUUCCAGGGAAAGGUCACCCUCACUGCAGACACCUCCUCCAGCACAGCCUACAUGGAGCUGAGCAGUCUGAAGUCUGAGGACACAGCCGUGUAUUACUGUGCGAGGCACAGUGUGGUGACCACAUCCUGAGUCUGUCAGAAACCCUGAGGGAGGAGCAGCUGCAGUGCCGGUGAAAUGACUAAGAUGAUGAGACUGAGGAGUUACUUAGAAAACUGAUGUAUUAAUUGAGGAUAGGAACCAUAGAAAUAAAUAUGCACCCUAAUUGUGUGGGAUAGUUUUGUGGGUGUCCACAACAGUCAACCUUGGUGCAAAAUACAGGGAGUAAAAAAAAAAAAUCUCCCUCCUAAUAAGGACACAAACUACUCCAAGAAGGUAUUUGUGAUGAGACAUGUUUCAAAACAAUUGGAGAAAGAUCCAGGAGCCAAGUUUUUCCAGGAGCAAAGUUUUUCAAUCAUAUGACAACAUUCUGUAUAUUUUCUAAAACAUGGCCAAAAUGUUUCUGCCAUUUCUAUUUAGCAAAAUUUACUUAUACGGCGGGUUUAUGCUCACAGUAAAAUCAUUUAGAAAGACCAAGAUUUUCCAUGAAUCUCUGCCCCACCAAGUUGUGCACAGCCUGCCCCUCUACUACCGCCCCGUCCUGCAGUCCUUCUGUGUUCCAGCUAUUGGAGCCACAGUGAGACACCAUCCACUCCCACAGCCGGGUUCUUACGUGGGUUGACUCCUGGUGCUGUGCAUUCUAUGGGUUUGGAUAAAUGUUUAGUUAUAUGACUCCACCAUGCUUUUCAUGGGUGUUCAAAUUAUUUGGUGAUUACCAGGAGCAGGCCUGUCUCACCCUGGGGUUGUAGGGGUCCAUUCAGACAGGCACAGGGUGGAGGAUCUGACAAAGCACCUGUGAGGAGUCCAGUUGGCCAUGCUGGCUGUUGAGCUCUUCCUUGACAAGUCCUGUGGGUUGUCUACUUCACAAGUGGCUAAUGAUGAUGGUUCAAAAUGUCUUCAUCCUUCCAAGCCUUCUCCUGAUGGCCCAAUGGUACCUACAAGCAAUCUUCACCCACUUGGGAGAGCUGAAAGUGUGAAGCUGAUAGAAGCAUCCUCAUGGGGUAUAAGAGGAUACCAUGUUCAGAUCAGCUGUGUGACCACCUCAGAUUCUUUUGCUCCAGCGUUAUCUUCAUCUCCGUAAGAAAUACCCAAAGAGCCUUCACAGUGAAAGAACCAUUUCCUACUCCCAUUCUCAGGGAAUAAGUUUCUCACUGCAGACAAAUCUCAGGAUUUUAUUUGUUCAUUGUUUGCUUUUUGGCAUUUGUAUCACAUGGUUGUAUAAUUACACAUUUUCCUACAAGCCAUAUUGAAAAUUUCAU
Non-coding RNA from Fukomys damarensis (Damara mole-rat), 1637 nucleotides. NCBI's taxonomy places the organism in Eukaryota, Metazoa, Chordata, Mammalia, Rodentia, Bathyergidae. The record is from the annotation of a RefSeq genome assembly.